GCGGACGCCCCAACCCCGUGGCCCCCUCGAACCCCACGUGCUUCCUAAAAACACUUAGAACCGUUCCAAUACCUUUAGUACCACGCUCGGCUCAGGCCCAUCCUCAGCUCAGAGCGCGGUAGCACUGUCCUCCCGCCCAGGAGGUUUAAGGCCUGGCUAAACUCCGCCCCCCACCGCCCUGGCCAAUCAGGAGCCACGUCCUCCGGCGCGCUCCUUCCCCGCCCCGCCUCCCGUCUCCAUGGGAACGAUCUGAGCGUCUACUCCGCGUCCUGGGGCGUCGGUUUCGGUCCCGCCCGGCUGCGGCCGUUGUUUGCUGGGACAGUCCUUGGGCCGGUCUCCGUCCCUGUCCAGAGGCUCCGUACGUGAGGCGGACUCUCGGGAGCACCGAGCCGGGCGCGGAUAAGGGCGAGGACAGCUGUUGCAGGAACGGGGGCAGAAAAGGAGGACCAGGGGCCGAGAAGCCGCUCUGGCUACGAAAUCUCAGACACCGUUGUAAAUGGGUGCUUCACAGCCGCCCGCCCCACGUUAAAACUGAAGAAGAGGUGCAAGGAGGCGGAAGCAGCUUGGGCCUCGGGACCGAGGGUCCUGUGAUCAGCAAGGGAGGACCAGAGAGGCUCAUGCCUCCGUUUUACAGCUCAGCCUUCUCGACCCUCCACCCUUCCCCAAAAAAGGAGCACAAAGGAGCAAGCAGGGGUCACGCCUUUCCUCACAGUCUGACCCGGUUACGUGAGGCAGCCCGAGGUAACCAGAUCCACGUCUACGAAGAGGAGAAAUAGAACCUACCGUGGCGGGUUGUUAAGAAGAUUCGCUAAGUUCAUUCAUUUGAAAAACUCAUCACAGAGCUUGACAAACAGGCCUAACCAUUGGCUGCGAUUAUGUUAUCAUCACAGGGAGCAAGAACCUUGGCCGCCGUCUCGGUUUCCCGAAUACUUACUGGUCUCUAGUUUUAUGUGACUUUUAAGAUCUGUGUGGGCAUUUUUUAUAUUGGCAUUUGUACAUCACUAGGAAUUUGUCCUUUUAUGUAGAGGUUCACAUGUAUUUGCAUAUAGUUCAUAAUACC
Molecule: long non-coding RNA, 1060 nt
Filed under: Sus scrofa (pig)
Lineage: Eukaryota; Metazoa; Chordata; Mammalia; Artiodactyla; Suidae
Description: lncRNA (ENSSSCG00030005593.1)
Source: RNAcentral